CUGGAAACCCCAUCCUCGUCUGUAUGAUGUUUCGUACAUAUAUCCCGAAGCAUUGGCAAUUACCUCAAGAAAUCUCUCCUGUUGAGUCUUGCUAAGAUAGCUGUACAAGAAGUCAUAAGCUGUGGCAAAGCCAACUAAGGAGUGGGCCAGAGGGACCUCAUCCCACGGGGCAUCCUUCACUAGCCAACUAGGCUGAGCUGCCAUCCUCUCCAUGUAAUCCUUGGCCAUGCCAAUGGCUUCAGUGUUGUCAGGAUAGAGAACACAGAACAUUGCCAAGGCCCCCAGGUUGUUGCCAUAAAUCUCA
RNAcentral lists this long non-coding RNA (304 nucleotides) under Gallus gallus (chicken). The record is from RNAcentral. Lineage: Eukaryota; Metazoa; Chordata; Aves; Galliformes; Phasianidae.